Molecule: ribosomal RNA, 694 nt
Filed under: Salmonella enterica
Lineage: Bacteria; Pseudomonadati; Pseudomonadota; Gammaproteobacteria; Enterobacterales; Enterobacteriaceae
Also listed under: 1 other name
Description: bacterial SSU rRNA
Rfam family: Bacterial small subunit ribosomal RNA
Source: RNAcentral
AAAUUGAAGAGUUUGAUCAUGGCUCAGAUUGAACGCUGGCGGCAGGCCUAACACAUGCAAGUCGAACGGUAGCACAGAGAGCUUGCUCUCGGGUGACGAGUGGCGGACGGGUGAGUAAUGUCUGGGAAACUGCCCGAUGGAGGGGGAUAACUACUGGAAACGGUAGCUAAUACCGCAUAACGUCGCAAGACCAAAGUGGGGGACCUUCGGGCCUCACACCAUCGGAUGUGCCCAGAUGGGAUUAGCUAGUAGGUGGGGUAACGGCUCACCUAGGCGACGAUCCCUAGCUGGUCUGAGAGGAUGACCAGCCACACUGGAACUGAGACACGGUCCAGACUCCUACGGGAGGCAGCAGUGGGGAAUAUUGCACAAUGGGCGCAAGCCUGAUGCAGCCAUGCCGCGUGUAUGAAGAAGGCCUUCGGGUUGUAAAGUACUUUCAGCGAGGAGGAAGGCGUUGUGGUUAAUAACCACAGCGAUUGACGUUACUCGCAGAAGAAGCACCGGCUAACUCCGUGCCAGCAGCCGCGGUAAUACGGAGGGUGCAAGCGUUAAUCGGAAUUACUGGGCGUAAAGCGCACGCAGGCGGUUUGUUAAGUCAGAUGUGAAAUCCCCGGGCUCAACCUGGGAACUGCAUUUGAAACUGGCAAGCUUGAGUCUCGUAGAGGGGGGUAGAAUUCCAGGUGUAGCGGUGAAA